Gallus gallus (chicken) is the source of this 988-nucleotide long non-coding RNA. NCBI's taxonomy places the organism in Eukaryota, Metazoa, Chordata, Aves, Galliformes, Phasianidae. The record is from Ensembl.
CUGGGAGCUUUGAAGUAAAGUGGUUGGAGGGAUCUGUGUCCAAAAGGAAUGGAAAAAAUGGGGUACCUCCUGGUUGAAAAGCUGGCAUUUGGAAGGAGCUGGACAAGACUGUAGAUGAGAAGAUAUCAGGCUCAGCAUGCACUAUGAAAUAAGGACAUGGCUGCCACCAUUGUGAGCCUGCCUACUGCCCUACCACAGUUGGCUCGCACAUGCUACCAUAUCCCACCUUCCCACAUGAGGAAAUGCAAGUCUACAGAUCUUGCUCAGUGCCCAUUUGAAAUAGGGAAGUGCAGAGAUGGAUCUGGGCUGAGCACACACUGAUGGGAUGAAGCAGAUUUCCUCCGCUUUCAGUGCAUUUAUUGUCCUCAAGUAUACUUGGUGAUACAUCCAAACGCCUGUAAAACAGGAAAAGACAGGGGCAGGCAGGCACAGUGGUUUGUGAACAAAAGGAAGGCAAAAACAAGAUUGCCUGUGUGCAGACCAAUAACCACCACUUUCAUCCCUGGAGCUGGAACUGAAUAAGCUGAGGAAUACCUUUGCAACCCUCCAUUAAAACAGCAGUGGACGAAGACUACAUAUACAUAGAGUAUAGGCUUUUUAUACUGCAAAACCCUUUGGUUUGGCAGUAAUUCUUUCUUUCUCAGACAUUUAAUCAUACUUGAUUUUUUAAAGCCUUUGCUUUUCAAAGGAAAAUUAGAACAUUCCAAAGCCCAUUGGUCUUACUGAGAGCUACUAUUUGGUGCAACAUGUAGCAGACUGUGGAGCUGCAAAACUUCAGCUGGAUUUGUGAUGGAUGUCACAGGGUGUCUGGCCCAAGGGAGGAGCACCCAGAAAAACUACAGCACUGCUCAGGAAAACUAGAGACCCUGAAGCAUGACAUUUGAGAGUUCUUGCUAAAGGCUGAGGACUCCAGGGCAACUGUGCUCCAGAGAACACAAGUGGCUGCUGAGCUGGCUGGAAAUCCAAAUUUCAUCCUGUGGGAAACUCU